RNAcentral lists this ribosomal RNA (395 nucleotides) under uncultured Bifidobacterium sp. RNAcentral describes it as "bacterial SSU rRNA". It matches the Rfam family "Bacterial small subunit ribosomal RNA", at positions 368 to 763 of the family's 1533-position model. Lineage: Bacteria; Bacillati; Actinomycetota; Actinomycetes; Bifidobacteriales; Bifidobacteriaceae. The record is from RNAcentral.
ACAAUGGGCGCAAGCCUGAUGCAGCGACGCCGCGUGCGGGAUGGAGGCCUUCGGGUUGUAAACCGCUUUUGUUCAAGGGCAAGGCACGGUUUCGGCCGUGUUGAGUGGAUUGUUCGAAUAAGCACCGGCUAACUACGUGCCAGCAGCCGCGGUAAUACGUAGGGUGCGAGCGUUAUCCGGAUUUAUUGGGCGUAAAGGGCUCGUAGGCGGUUCGUCGCGUCCGGUGUGAAAGUCCAUCGCCUAACGGUGGAUCUGCGCCGGGUACGGGCGGGCUGGAGUGCGGUAGGGGAGACUGGAAUUCCCGGUGUAACGGUGGAAUGUGUAGAUAUCGGGAAGAACACCAAUGGCGAAGGCAGGUCUCUGGGCCGUCACUGACGCUGAGGAGCGAAAGCGUG